This 690-nucleotide ribosomal RNA is filed under the name uncultured Russula. RNAcentral's name for it is "eukaryotic LSU rRNA". The stretch from base 249 to 402 matches the Rfam family "5.8S ribosomal RNA". Lineage: Eukaryota; Fungi; Basidiomycota; Agaricomycetes; Russulales; Russulaceae. The record is from RNAcentral.
CUUGGUCAUUUAGAGGAAGUAAAAGUCGUAACAAGGUUUCCGUAGGUGAACCUGCGGAAGGAUCAUUAUCGAAUUAUAAGCGAAGGUUGUAGCUGGCCCUCCCGGGGGCAACGUGCACGCCCGAGCUCUUAAUCCACUUACACCUGUGAACUCAAUGUGGGACCGUCCUUCGGGACGAUUCUCAUGUCUUUCAUAUACUCUUAUGUAUGUCACGGAAUGUCUUGUCGUUGCUUUAACGCAAUCAAUACAACUUUCAACAACGGAUCUCUUGGCUCUCGCAUCGAUGAAGAACGCAGCGAAAUGCGAUACGUAAUGUGAAUUGCAGAAUUCAGUGAAUCAUCGAAUCUUUGAACGCACCUUGCGCCCCUUGGUAUUCCGAGGGGCACACCCGUUUGAGUGUCGUGAAAUUCUCAAACCUUCUUGGUUUCUUGAUCAAGAUGGCUUUGGACUUUGGAGGCAUUUGCUGGCUUUGCGAAAAGCCAGCUCCUCUCGAAUGCAUUAGUGGGGUCCCCUUUGCCGAUCCCCAGGCGUGAUAAGAUGUUUCUACGUCUUGGGAUUUGCUCUGUUCCUUGGGAACCCGCUUCUAACCGUCUCAUGGAAGACAUUGUUCGAGCUUGCUCGACCCACGAACCUUGACCUCAAAUCGGGUGAGACUACCCGCUGAACUUAAGCAUAUCAAUAAGCGGAGGA